This 253-nucleotide ribosomal RNA is filed under the name uncultured bacterium. RNAcentral's name for it is "partial 16S ribosomal RNA". It matches the Rfam family "Bacterial small subunit ribosomal RNA", at positions 524 to 776 of the family's 1533-position model. The record is from RNAcentral.
UACAGAGGGUGCAAGCGUUAAUCGGAGUUACUGGGCGUAAAGGGCGCGUAGGCGGUUUGUUAAGUGAGUUGUGAAAGCCCUGGGCUUAACCUGGGAAUGGCAACUUAAACUGGCGAGCUAGAGUACUGUAGAGGGUAGUGGAAUUUCCGGUGUAGCGGUGAAAUGCGUAGAGAUCGGAAGGAACACCAGUGGCGAAGGCGGCUACCUGGACAGAUACUGACGCUGAGGCGCGAGAGCGUGGGGAGCAAACAGG